This 87-nucleotide transfer RNA is filed under the name Sulfurimicrobium sp. RNAcentral describes it as "tRNA-Leu". It matches the Rfam family "tRNA". Rfam says of the family: Transfer RNA (tRNA) molecules are approximately 80 nucleotides in length. Their secondary structure includes four short double-helical elements and three loops (D, anti-codon, and T loops). The record is from RNAcentral. Lineage: Bacteria; Pseudomonadati; Pseudomonadota; Betaproteobacteria; Nitrosomonadales; Sulfuricellaceae.
GCCCGGGUGGCGAAAUUGGUAGACGCAACGGACUUAAAAUCCGUCCUCCGCAAGGAAGUACCGGUUCGAUUCCGGUCUCGGGCACCA